GUCUUAGUUCGUGGAGUGAUCUGUCUGCUUAAUUGCGUUUCACUAAGGGCCCAUAAAUUCAAGGUAUGUUAGCUAUCGUUUCUCAAUUGACCCCUUGUCUUCGAUAAGCGCGUGUCUUUUAGAGUUUAAACAUUGCGCAUGCUGUUGGGUCCUGAAAGCAACGAACGUGACCGCAACGUCUUAUUGCCUUUAUCUUGCUAUAUUUUAAUUUAAUUAAAAAUAGCUAACAGAGGCUAAUUUAAAAUUAGACGGACCGCUGUACUUUUCUUAAACCAGAGGAAGGUUGCGGCAAUAACAGGUCUGUGAUGCCCUUAGAUGUUCCGGGCUGCACACGUGCUACAAUGAUCAGUACAGUGAGCAUCUCAAUAUUAUACACCGUAUUAAGCGCUUAGUUGCGAUUAUUGGCUCAUUAUUGGGUCUUUUAAUUGUAUUUCUAAUGCGCGCGGUAAAGCCUGCUUCGAGAGUAAGUGGGUAAUCCAUUGGAAGUAAUGAUUUCUCUUUUUAUAGCACACCUAUAUACGGCAUUCAUUCCCGGGACGACUAGUUUCGUCUUUUUUGUGCGAAUGUAAUGUAUUCUUUAUCCGUAUGUGCGAUUGUC
This 598-nucleotide ribosomal RNA is filed under the name Neogloboquadrina dutertrei. RNAcentral describes it as "SSU rRNA". The stretch from base 1 to 446 matches the Rfam family "Eukaryotic small subunit ribosomal RNA", at positions 1291 to 1608 of the family's 1831-position model. The record is from RNAcentral. Lineage: Eukaryota; Foraminifera; Rotaliida; Globorotaliidae.